CGGCGAAAGCUCAAAUUUGAAAGCCGGCGUAAGCCCGCGUUGUAAUUUGUAGAGGAUGCUUCUGGGUAGCGGCCGGUCUAAGUUUCUUGGAACAGGACGUCACAGAGGGUGAGAAUCCCGUAUGUGAUCGGCGUCGGCUCCCUCCACGUAGCUCCUUCGAC
RNAcentral lists this ribosomal RNA (161 nucleotides) under Capnodiales sp. RNAcentral describes it as "partial large subunit ribosomal RNA". It matches the Rfam family "Eukaryotic large subunit ribosomal RNA", at positions 99 to 261 of the family's 3401-position model. Lineage: Eukaryota; Fungi; Ascomycota; Dothideomycetes; Capnodiales. The record is from RNAcentral.